UGUUAGUGUUUAGUGUUGGACUGUUUUUGUUCUUAGAAUUAAGAAACUUAUGUCGAGCAAAAAUAAAACUACUCAAAAACGCGAAUAUGUGGUAGAUUUCAGACCCUGUGGUAGAUGGUCAAAAAAGUAGCAGAUCUACCACAAUGUGGUAGAAGUCCGAUCACUGGCCUCGAGUGAAGAUCUGUGAGAACUAAAAUGUGUUUUUUUAUACUUUUGGUUUUCAUAUCCUAAUUUUUUUAGAGUGCCUGCUAAUAAGAAUAUGCCUCCACCACAAUCGCUUAAGCCACUUGCAAACGCUUUUAAGCAAAUUUCAUCACACAGAUGGAGGUCAAAAGUUCGCGAGUAUAUCGGUGGCUAUCCUCUACUUUAUUUGUACGGAAAUGAAGCCAUUUUAAGGAAGGUGAAGGCUUUCUCAAGCUAAUGAAAACAAUUGCGCCUUUGUAUAAAGUUCCGAGACGAAAGUAUUUUAAGGCGCAACUCAAUGCGAAGUACGAUGUCGUUAAACUGAACUAUAUUGAGAAAGUCAAAAACGCUGAUAAAUUAAGUUUAACCAUGGACAUAUAGACAGAUACAAUGGCGGAGAAGGGCUACUUGGGUGUAACUAUGCACUUCAUCGAUGGAGUUCAAACAAAGGCUCGGUACUCGGGAGCUGCGGAAAAUCUCAUAUAGAAGCAGGGUCGGCUGAGGGCGCAACGAAAAAACUUAUUUGAGAUGUGAAGACGAGAUGGAACUUAACAUACUUUAUGCUACAAAGGUUUAUAGAUUUGGGUCCAAUUUGCUCACAAAUGUUGAUCUUUUCUCCUGACGGCUCUAACAUGUUGACAGGUAGCGAAAUCGACUGCAUAAAGCAACUAAUCUUACUUCUAAAGCCUUUUGAGUGUGCCACUAGAGAAAGUUCCGCUGAAAAAUAUAUUUAAAUUUCCAAAAUAA
Long non-coding RNA from Rhagoletis pomonella (apple maggot), 930 nucleotides. RefSeq lists it as uncharacterized. The record is from RefSeq and is a predicted model, not a curated record. The transcript has 4 exons. Lineage: Eukaryota; Metazoa; Arthropoda; Insecta; Diptera; Tephritidae.